GAUGAACGCUGGCGGCGUGCCUAAUACAUGCAAGUCGAGCGAACAGACGAGGAGCUUGCUCCUCUGACGUUAGCGGCGGACGGGUGAGUAACACGUGGAUAACCUACCUAUAAGACUGGGAUAACUUCGGGAAACCGGAGCUAAUACCGGAUAAUAUAUUGAACCGCAUGGUUCAAUAGUGAAAGACGGUUUUGCUGUCACUUAUAGAUGGAUCCGCGCCGCAUUAGCUAGUUGGUAAGGUAACGGCUUACCAAGGCAACGAUGCGUAGCCGACCUGAGAGGGUGAUCGGCCACACUGGAACUGAGACACGGUCCAGACUCCUACGGGAGGCAGCAGUAGGGAAUCUUCCGCAAUGGGCGAAAGCAUGACGGAGCAACGCCGCGUGAGUGAUGAAGGUCUUCGGAUCGUAAGACUCUGUUAUUAGGGAAGAACAAAUGUGUAAGUAACUAUGCACGUCUUGACGGUACCUAAUCAGAAAGCCACGGCUAACUACGUG
This 497-nucleotide ribosomal RNA is filed under the name uncultured bacterium. RNAcentral's name for it is "partial 16S ribosomal RNA". It matches the Rfam family "Bacterial small subunit ribosomal RNA", at positions 28 to 507 of the family's 1533-position model. The record is from RNAcentral.